This 487-nucleotide ribosomal RNA is filed under the name uncultured Stenotrophomonas sp. Its description in RNAcentral is "bacterial SSU rRNA". It matches the Rfam family "Bacterial small subunit ribosomal RNA", at positions 505 to 990 of the family's 1533-position model. Lineage: Bacteria; Pseudomonadati; Pseudomonadota; Gammaproteobacteria; Lysobacterales; Lysobacteraceae. The record is from RNAcentral.
GUGCCAGCAGCCGCGGUAAUACGAAGGGUGCAAGCGUUACUCGGAAUUACUGGGCGUAAAGCGUGCGUAGGUGGUCGUUUAAGUCCGUUGUGGAAGCCCUGGGCUCAACCUGGGAACUGCAGUGGAUACUGGGCGACUAGAGUAUGGUAGAGGGUAGCGGAAUUCCUGGUGUAGCAGUGAAAUGCGUAGAGAUCAGGAGGAACAUCCAUGGCGAAGGCAGCUACCUGGACCAACACUGACACUGAGGCACGAAAGCGUGGGGAGCAAACAGGAUUAGAUACCCUGGUAGUCCACGCCCUAAACGAUGCGAACUGGAUGUUGGGUGCAAUUUGGCACGCAGUAUCGAAGCUAACGCGUUAAGUUCGCCGCCUGGGGAGUACGGUCGCAAGACUGAAACUCAAAGGAAUUGACGGGGGCCCGCACAAGCGGUGGAGUAUGUGGUUUAAUUCGAUGCAACGCGAAGAACCUUACCUGGCCUUGACAUGUC